UACGGGAGGCAGCAGUGGGGGAUAUUGCGCAAUGGGGGAAACCCUGACGCAGCAACGCCGCGUGGAGGAUGACGGUUUUCGGAUUGUAAACUCCUUUUAUAAGGGACGAAUUAAGACGGUACCUUAUGAAUAAGCUCCGGCUAACUACGUGCCAGCAGCCGCGGUAAU
This 168-nucleotide ribosomal RNA is filed under the name uncultured rumen bacterium. Its description in RNAcentral is "partial 16S ribosomal RNA". It matches the Rfam family "Bacterial small subunit ribosomal RNA", at positions 340 to 524 of the family's 1533-position model. The record is from RNAcentral.